CCUACGGGUGGCAGCAGUGGGGAAUAUUGCACAAUGGGGGAAACCCUGAUGCAGCGACGCCGCGUGAGUGAAGAAGGAUUUAGGUAUGUAAAGCCCUAUUAGCAGGGAAGAAAAUGACGGUACCUGACUAAGAAGCACCGGCUAACUACGUGCCAGCAGCCGCGGUAAUACGGAGGGGGCAAGCGUUAUCCGGAUUUACUGGGUGUAAAGGGAGCGUAGACGGGGUUGCAAGUCAGAUGUGAAAGCCUGGGGCUCAACUCCGGGACUGCAUUUGAAACUGUGUGACUGGAGUGCGGGAGAGGUAAGUGGAAUUCCUGGUGUAGCGGUGAAAUGCGUAGAGAUCAGGAGGAACACUAGUGGCGAAGGCGGCUUACUGGACUGUAACUGACGUUGAUGCUCGAAAGCGUGGGGAGCAAACAGGAUUAGAUACCCCGGUAGUC
Molecule: ribosomal RNA, 440 nt
Filed under: uncultured bacterium
Lineage: Bacteria
Description: partial 16S ribosomal RNA
Rfam family: Bacterial small subunit ribosomal RNA
Source: RNAcentral